GACGAACGCUGCGGCGUGCUUAACACCUGCAAGUCGAACGGAAAGGCCCUGCUUUUGUGGGGUGCUCGAGUGGCGAACGGGUGAGUAACACGUGAGUAACCUGCCCUUGACUUUGGGAUAACUUCAGGAAACUGGGGCUAAUACCGGAUAGGAGCUCCUGCUGCAUGGUGGGGGUUGGAAAGUUCCGGCGGUUGGGGAUGGACUCGCGGCUUAUCAGCUUGUUGGUGGGGUAGUGGCUUACCAAGGCUUUGACGGGUAGCCGGCCUGAGAGGGUGACCGGCCACAUUGGGACUGAGAUACGGCCCAGACUCCUACGGGAGGCAGCAGUGGGGAAUAUUGCACAAUGGGCGGAAGCCUGAUGCAGCAACGCCGCGUGCGGGAUGACGGCCUUCGGGUUGUAAACCGCUUUCGCCUGUGACGAAGCGUGAGUGACGGUAAUGGGUAAAGAAGCACCGGCUAACUACGUG
RNAcentral lists this ribosomal RNA (467 nucleotides) under uncultured bacterium. RNAcentral describes it as "partial 16S ribosomal RNA". It matches the Rfam family "Bacterial small subunit ribosomal RNA", at positions 28 to 507 of the family's 1533-position model. The record is from RNAcentral.